Phoenix dactylifera (date palm) is the source of this 556-nucleotide non-coding RNA. Lineage: Eukaryota; Viridiplantae; Streptophyta; Magnoliopsida; Arecales; Arecaceae. The record is from RefSeq and is a predicted model, not a curated record.
AGUACUCCCAACCAUACCCACCUCCACCAUCUGGAUCUCAACCUUAUCCUCCACCUCCACCACCCCAAGGAGUCAACCCUCCUCCCCCACCGCAAGGGAUCUAUCCCCCACCACCACCGGGAUACCAGGACUACUUCCAUGAUGGGUACCCUCCUCCACCUCCGCCACCGCCACCGCCGCCACCACCACCAUCUCAGCCCUACUACCACAGCCAUGAUGGUGACUCCUCUUGCUUCUCAUUCAUACGAGGAUGUUUGGCUGCUCUUUGCUGUUGUUGUGUGUUGGAAGAGUGCUGCUUUUAAGGAGCCUUAAUGGCUUAAGGUGUUUGGAGGUUAUGGCACUACUAACAGUGACUUUCUUCGUCCAUAUUUCUCGGCCUGUUCCCCAUGGUGGUCGUGGGGCACUACUCAUCAUGGUGGCCGUGGACUAUAAUAUAAGAUCAUCAGAACUUAUGGCUUGUGUGCAGCAUAGUUAUUAUUCCAUAAUACUACCCUAUGAUGAACUUUGUAAUUUUUAGACAUUAUGCUAUUGAUAAUUCACUCAGUCAUUAGAAUCA